GGGCGUAUGGCGAAAUUGGUAGACGCGCUGGAUUUAGGUUCCAGUGGGGAAACCCAUCAGAGUUCAAGUCUCUGUACGCCCACCA
RNAcentral lists this transfer RNA (85 nucleotides) under Alphaproteobacteria bacterium. Its description in RNAcentral is "tRNA-Leu". It matches the Rfam family "tRNA". Rfam says of the family: Transfer RNA (tRNA) molecules are approximately 80 nucleotides in length. Their secondary structure includes four short double-helical elements and three loops (D, anti-codon, and T loops). RNAcentral also lists the same sequence under 2 other names. The record is from RNAcentral. Lineage: Bacteria; Pseudomonadati; Pseudomonadota; Alphaproteobacteria.